This 89-nucleotide non-coding RNA is filed under the name marine eukaryotic metagenome. Its description in RNAcentral is "Pyrrolysine insertion sequence mttB". It matches the Rfam family "Pyrrolysine insertion sequence mttB", at positions 3 to 91 of the family's 100-position model. The record is from RNAcentral.
GACGGAUUCAAAGAUUCCUGAUGCGCAGUAUGGUAUUGAAAAAGCAAUGACAUUUAUGCUGGCUGCGCAUGCCGGUGCUAAUCGGUUGU